RNAcentral lists this ribosomal RNA (793 nucleotides) under uncultured Aquicella sp. RNAcentral describes it as "bacterial SSU rRNA". It matches the Rfam family "Bacterial small subunit ribosomal RNA", at positions 556 to 1351 of the family's 1533-position model. Lineage: Bacteria; Pseudomonadati; Pseudomonadota; Gammaproteobacteria; Legionellales; Coxiellaceae. The record is from RNAcentral.
GGGCGUAAAGAGCGUGUAGGCGAUUGGAUAAGUCAGAUGUGAAAUCCCUGGGCUCGACCCAGGAAGUGCAUUUGAAACUGUCCAGCUCGAGUAGGGAAGAGGAAAGUGGAAUUCCUGGUGUAGAGGUGAAAUUCGUAGAUAUCAGGAGGAACACCGGUGGCGAAGGCGACUUUCUGGUCCUAUACUGACGCUGAGACGCGAAAGCGUGGGGAGCGAACAGGAUUAGAUACCCUGGUAGUCCACGCUGUAAACGAUGAGAACUAAAUGUUGGAGGGGGAACCCUUCAGUAUUGAAGCUAACGCGAUAAGUUCUCCGCCUGGGAAGUACAGUCGCAAGACUGAAACUCAAAAGAAUUGACGGGGGCCCGCACAAGCGGUGGAGCAUGUGGUUUAAUUCGAUGCAACGCGAAGAACCUUACCUACCCUUGACAUCCUGCGAAUCCCGAUGAGAGUUGGGAGUGCCGCAAGGAGCGCAGAGACAGGUGCUGCAUGGCUGUCGUCAGCUCGUGUUGUGAGAUGUUGGGUUAAGUCCCGUAACGAGCGCAACCCUUGUCCUUAGUUGCCAUCAUUUAGUUGGGGACUCUAAGGAGACUGCCGGUGAUGAACCGGAGGAAGGCGGGGACGACGUCAAGUCAUCAUGGCCUUUAUGGGUAGGGCUACACACGUGCUACAAUGGGGCGUACAGAGGGUCGCCAACCCGCGAGGGGGAGCCAAUCUCUUAAAGCGUCUCGUAGUCCGGAUCGGAGUCUGCAACUCGACUCCGUGAAGUCGGAAUCGCUAGUAAUCGCGAAUCA